AGCAGCCGCGGUAAAUUCCAGCUCCAAUAGCGUAUAUUAAAGUUGUUGCAGUUAAAAGCCGUAGUUGAACCUUUGGCCUGGCUGGCAGGUCCGCCUCACCGCGUGCACUUGUCCGGCCGGCCUUUUCUUCUGGAGAACCGCAUGCCCUUCACUGGGUGUGUUGGGGACCAGGACUUUACUUUGAAAAAAUUAGAGUGUUCAAAGCAGGCCUUUGCUCGAAUAUGUUAGCAUGGAAUAUAGAAUAGGACGUGCGGUCCUAUUUUGUUGGUUUCU
Molecule: ribosomal RNA, 273 nt
Filed under: uncultured Glomeromycotina
Lineage: Eukaryota; Fungi; Glomeromycota
Description: partial small subunit ribosomal RNA
Rfam family: Eukaryotic small subunit ribosomal RNA
Source: RNAcentral